UUUGGGAAAUGAUGAGAGAUUCAAACAGGUUAGCAUAGGCUUAAUGGUUUUUUUUGUCAUGCUGAAUAUUUUUUGCACGUCAGUCUGAUCCCAAA
This is a small nucleolar RNA of Vitis riparia (riverbank grape), 95 nucleotides long. RefSeq annotates it as small nucleolar RNA Z122. The transcript has a single exon. NCBI's taxonomy places the organism in Eukaryota, Viridiplantae, Streptophyta, Magnoliopsida, Vitales, Vitaceae. The record is from RefSeq and is a predicted model, not a curated record.